GGGUUGUGAGGUUAAGCGACUAAGCGUACACGGUGGAUGCCCUGGCAGUCAGAGGCGAUGAAGGACGUGCUAAUCUGCGAAAAGCGUCGGUAAGGUGAUAUGAACCGUUAUAGCCGGCGAUGUCCGAAUGGGGAAACCCAGUGCAAUUCGUUGCACUAUCGUUAACUGAAUACAUAGGUUAACGAGGCGAACCGGGGGAACUGAAACAUCUAAGUACCCCGAGGAAAAGAAAUCAACCGAGAUUCCCCCAGUAGCGGCGAGCGAACGGGGAGCAGCCCGGAGUCUGAAUCAGCUUGUGUGUUAGUGGAAGCGUCUGGAAAGUCGCAGGGUACAGGGUGAUACUCCCGUACACUAAAACACACAGGUUGUGAACUCGAAGAGUAGGGCGGGACACGUGGUAUCCUGUCUGAAUAUGGGGGGACCAUCCUCCAAGGCUAAAUACUCCUGACUGACCGAUAGUGAACCAGUACCGUGAGGGAAAGGCGAAAAGAACCCCGGCGAGGGGAGUGAAAAAGAACCUGAAACCGUGUACGUACAAGCAGUAGGAGCCCACUAGUUGGGUGACUGCGUACCUUUUGUAUAAUGGGUCAGCGACUUAUAUUCUGUAGCAAGGUUAACCGUAUAGGGGAGCCGCAGGGAAACCGAGUCUUAACUGGGCGUUAAGUUGCAGGGUAUAGACCCGAAACCCGGUGAUCUAGCCAUGGGCAGGUUGAAGGUUGGGUAACACUAACUGGAGGACCGAACCGACUAAUGUUGAAAAAUUAGCGGAUGACUUGUGGCUGGGGGUGAAAGGCCAAUCAAACCGGGAGAUAGCUGGUUCUCCCCGAAAGCUAUUUAGGUAGCGCCUCGUGAAUUCAUCUUCGGGGGUAGAGCACUGUUUCGGCUAGGGGGUCAUCCCGACUUACCAACCCGAUGCAAACUACGAAUACCGAAGAAUGUUAUCACGGGAGACACACGGCGGGUGCUAACGUCCGUCGUGAAGAGGGAAACAACCCAGACCGCCAGCUAAGGUCCCAAAGUCAUGGUUAAGUGGGAAACGAUGUGGGAAGGCCCAGACAGCCAGGAUGUUGGCUUAGAAGCAGCCAUCAUUUAAAGAAAGCGUAAUAGCUCACUGGUCGAGUCGGCCUGCGCGGAAGAUGUAACGGGGCUAAACCAUGCACCGAAGCUGCGGCAGCGACACUAUGUGUUGUUGGGUAGGGGAGCGUUCUGUAAGCCGUUGAAGGUGGCCUGUGAGGGUUGCUGGAGGUAUCAGAAGUGCGAAUGCUGACAUAAGUAACGAUAAUGCGGGUGAAAAACCCGCACGCCGGAAGACCAAGGGUUCCUGUCCAACGUUAAUCGGGGCAGGGUGAGUCGACCCCUAAGGCGAGGCCGAAAGGCGUAGUCGAUGGGAAACAGGUUAAUAUUCCUGUACUCGGUGUUACUGCGAAGGGGGGACGGAGAAGGCUAUGUUGGCCGGGCGACGGUUGUCCCGGUUUAAGCAUGUAGGCGGAUGUUCCAGGUAAAUCCGGAACGUUAUUAACGCUGAGGUGUGAUGACGAGGCACUACGGUGCUGAAGUGACAAAUGCCCUGCUUCCAGGAAAAGCCUCUAAGCAUCAGGUAACAUCAAAUCGUACCCCAAACCGACACAGGUGGUCAGGUAGAGAAUACCAAGGCGCUUGAGAGAACUCGGGUGAAGGAACUAGGCAAAAUGGUGCCGUAACUUCGGGAGAAGGCACGCUGAUGGUAGGUGAAGCGACUUGCUCGUGGAGCUGAAAUCAGUCGAAGAUACCAGCUGGCUGCAACUGUUUAUUAAAAACACAGCACUGUGCAAACACGAAAGUGGACGUAUACGGUGUGACGCCUGCCCGGUGCCGGAAGGUUAAUUGAUGGGGUUAUCCGUAAGGAGAAGCUCUUGAUCGAAGCCCCGGUAAACGGCGGCCGUAACUAUAACGGUCCUAAGGUAGCGAAAUUCCUUGUCGGGUAAGUUCCGACCUGCACGAAUGGCGUAAUGAUGGCCAGGCUGUCUCCACCCGAGACUCAGUGAAAUUGAACUCGCUGUGAAGAUGCAGUGUACCCGCGGCAAGACGGAAAGACCCCGUGAACCUUUACUAUAGCUUGACACUGAACACUGGUCCUUGAUGUGUAGGAUAGGUGGGAGGCUUUGAAGUGUGGACGCCAGUCUGCAUGGAGCCAUCCUUGAAAUACCACCCUUUAAUGGCUGGUGUUCUAACGUGGGCCCGUAAUCCGGGUUGCGGACAGUGUCUGGUGGGUAGUUUGACUGGGGCGGUCUCCUCCUAAAGAGUAACGGAGGAGCACGAAGGUCAGCUAAUCCUGGUCGGACAUCAGGAGGUUAGUGCAAUGGCAUAAGCUGGCUUGACUGCGAGCGUGACGGCGCGAGCAGGUGCGAAAGCAGGUCAUAGUGAUCCGGUGGUUCUGAAUGGAAGGGCCAUCGCUCAACGGAUAAAAGGUACUCCGGGGAUAACAGGCUGAUACCGCCCAAGAGUUCAUAUCGACGGCGGUGUUUGGCACCUCGAUGUCGGCUCAUCACAUCCUGGGGCUGAAGUAGGUCCCAAGGGUAUGGCUGUUCGCCAUUUAAAGUGGUACGCGAGCUGGGUUUAGAACGUCGUGAGACAGUUCGGUCCCUAUCUGCCGUGGGCGCUGGAGAAUUGAGGGGGGCUGCUCCUAGUACGAGAGGACCGGAGUGGACGCAUCACUGGUGUUCGGGUUGUCAUGCCAAUGGCAUUGCCCGGUAGCUAAAUGCGGAAGAGAUAAGUGCUGAAAGCAUCUAAGCACGAAACUUGCCCCGAGAUGAGUUCUCCCUGACCCUUUAAGGGUCCUGAAGGAACGUUGAAGACGACGACGUUGAUAGGCCGGGUGUGUAAGCGCAGCGAUGCGUUGAGCUAACCGGUACUAAUGAACCGUGAGGCUUAACCUUACAACGCCGAAG
RNAcentral lists this ribosomal RNA (2927 nucleotides) under Klebsiella oxytoca. RNAcentral's name for it is "bacterial LSU rRNA". It matches the Rfam family "Bacterial large subunit ribosomal RNA". Lineage: Bacteria; Pseudomonadati; Pseudomonadota; Gammaproteobacteria; Enterobacterales; Enterobacteriaceae. The record is from RNAcentral. RNAcentral also lists the same sequence under 1 other name.